This is a long non-coding RNA of Orcinus orca (killer whale), 8034 nucleotides long. RefSeq lists it as uncharacterized. Lineage: Eukaryota; Metazoa; Chordata; Mammalia; Artiodactyla; Delphinidae. The transcript is spliced from 6 exons. The record is from RefSeq and is a predicted model, not a curated record.
AGGUGCCCAGGAGUUGGGUGGCAGACGAUCAGAGGUGGCACUCGUGCGCUACUCCAGCAUCAUGCUCAAGGGCCUGCAUGAAUGACAGCCAGACCUACUGACCGCGAGGAAAACCCCAGGAUCCCGAUGGGACGUGAUCAUCAUCAGAAGCAAAGACUCCUGCCCUUCCCCUUACCUGCUCCUGAAACCUUACAGAUGUGGCCGUAAGCAAAACCUCUAAUACUUGGAAUGGAGGCAGCAAAGACUGGGAGUCUGCAGUGAGGCCACCAACCACAAGCAUUGCAAGAGCCAGCUGACCACACAGGAGAGCUUGCUCCUCCUGGCGGCUCUGCUGUCAGAAGAAUGAGCCACUGUCGACGCAGGGGGAGUUCACUUUCCGGGGACGUGGAGAUCAGCAAGCUUGAACAAUCUGUUCAGAGAUACGGCGUUGAUGGGCACUGGAGGGCUCGACGCCCAGCCUGGACCACAGGACUCACCAUCUGCCCUGAGAACACAAGGCUUUGGGGUCCGAGGCAGCCAUGACAGUUAGCAUCUGCUGUAUACCAGGAGCUAUGCUAGCAACUGGGGGUCCAGUGUGAAUAAGACCCAUCCCCUGUCCUGCAGAAGUCUGCAUACCGCUGGGCUCGUGGUGAUGUCAGACGUGCAAUCACGAACUUUGGGUGUUGGACCUGAAGGAUGGGUGGGGUCCAGUGUGGGAGCCAGGGAGGUGUGAGCAAGUCUACCCAGAGGGGCAUUAUCUGGAAAGCCUUCCCAGAGAGGACGACACUUAAUGGUCUCAGUGUUAGAGAUGCAGAUGAAAAGCUGAAGGAAGAGGAGCGGAAGGUACUGCCGAAGGGGAGUGAGCCAAAGACAAAGAGGAGAUGGAACCUGCAGCGCCGUCUGCUACCGGAGCCACCUGUCUGUUGCUAGAAAGGGUCCCGAGGCAUGGGGCAAAACCUGCCCACCUGCCCCUUUUGACUACUCUGCUGGCUCUCAGAUUCCGUGGCUUCCGUCCAGCCUGCGGAGACGCAGGUCAGGAAAUGGGGUGGCACCCAGCCAGAGACCACGCAUCUCCCUCCCUCUGCCUCCACACCGUCCCCUCCUGCUAUGUGCCCUGAUGCUCUGCUGUUGCUUGGCUGCCGUCCUCAAGGUUGGUAAUAAUAGUUACAAUGUUUGCGUGUGUUUGGCUUGCCUCUUACAACUUAAAUUCUUUUGAAUUACAUGAUUUCAAUCCAGCAAGAACAAGAUUUCUAUAUUUGUUGUAUCUCCCAGCAGCCAGCACGUACAUACAACAAAGGCUAAAAUACAGCAGGGCCUCAUACUCAAGACUGCCAGUCAGUCAACAAGUAUUUAUUACGUUCCCACAAAGCGUGCAGUGCGGGCAGCAGCGAGGUCUAACAAUGGUAAGAUGCACUUGUUUCAUCCUGGGAAAUCCAGAAGAGGAAAUAAAGGGACGGUACAGAAAGUUCUGACACUCAGGGGAAAGUCAGGGUCACUGCAACUGCCCAGGGGAGACCAUGAGAGCUGGGCUCAGAGCCCCGGAUGAAGGACUCCCGGCUGCCCAGCUGAUGAAAUCUCCGGUCUACAGCUGCCCGUUUCCGGAAGUCCCACCUGGAAAGGGACUCUGGGAGCCCAUAUUUGCUGCAUGGUUGUUUCUCCCCAACAUUCCCCUUCCUUCAGCCAGUUGUGCUGACAGGCAAAUCAAACAGGGAAACCACAGCAGCUCCUGCCUAAUGAAAUUUUUGCAUACUAUUAACGUUAGCGGUGGCACUAAUCUCUGGCUGAUUGCAGCCACUCAGGCUAAAUGAGUAGGAGGUUUAUUUAAAAGAGAAAAGGCAGGGGAAUGUGGAGGAAGGUAGUAGGGGAGAGGGUGAGCUAACAACUUUGGCUAGGAAUAAAGAAACAAUCUCUUUUCAAUCAGGGACAAUUAACUGUUAAGUCAAUAUGCAGACUUCAUAAUUCCUGGACUAACUUCGUCUUGCCCAGGCGGCCACGAUCAGGGUCAGGGGAGUGCAUCCUCUGGUGAGAGCUGGUACUGCUGUCUACUGCCUGGGCUUUCCUUCCCUGACACUGGAGCUUGUUACGGUAACACCUGGCACUUGGAAGAGCGGGCAGGAAAGAAGGUUCUGCCCUCCCUCCAAGAACUUUAUGGCAUCUCAUCGUUGGAGGUGCCCUUACCUUACCCCAGUGGGAGGUAUGAGCUGAAAACAAAUGGUUUAGAUACCAUUUCAGGGGGAUGUACUUGUAAAGGGCUACAAGAUCAAGGGGGGAUGUUUUGGAAAUACCAGCUCUCCCAGCACCUGGAUAAGGUCUGGGCAGGGCACUCCUUGAAUUCUGAAGGCUGCAGACAUUCAACUGGGGUGGUAAGUAGGAAGACCUGGUGGCAGAGAGAAGCAGACUGGGUAGAUCAGGGGCAUGCCCUUGGAACAGCUCUGCAGAGUCAUGCUAAGAAGAUGGGCAGAACGCAAUGCAGUCUUACCUAGAGGCAGGCACUGGGAGGGACAAGGCCUGCAGGCCUUUCAGAGGAGAGAACAGCCUUCACCCAGUGUACUGUGCUAGAUGGGGAAUCCAGAGUCGGAGAGUCUUAUUUCAGAGAGAGUUGCAAGAGCUCCACGGUGCAGGAUCCUCUCUCACCCAGAGCUACUGUGGGAGCAAACCCUACUCUGCAGCUCUGUGGCCCAAAGCUCUGUGCCUGCCUGAUUUCCCAAUUUUAGUAGCGAUGCGCUAUGCUUCAGGUGAAAGAGAGGAGAAGCCAGAGCAUCCUACGUUAAAUAACGUUUCAGUGCCACAGGCUGACUCCUGCCUAAAUCUAGGUUUUGGUUUGGGGCUUGGGGCUGGUUGUCAGGGCACCUGGCUGAGCCCUGGUACCAUGUCAGUCCUAGCAGUUGGUGGGUGCCGGGCAGCAGGCUCGUGCUGCUUUGCAAGAAUGUUCUAGGGAAGAGCACCCCAGGACAGGGACCGUGUAAAACUACUGGGAGGGGAUUCUGGAACCGAAGGGGUCAAAUAUAAGGCAGCUUUAUCCCAGGUAGAACUCUCAAGAAGAGACCGUCUUGGCCCUGCAUCUUCAUCAAUAUUUAUCGAGUCCCAGCUUUCUGCAAGGUUCCAUCACAAGAGCUGAAUACUGAUGUCUGACCUUGCAGUCUCAGACUAAAACACAGCUGACACACAAACGAAGGGAAAGGAUGAUAUAUAUGUUAAAGGAGAGAGGGGACCAUGGUGAGACACCUAGAGGGUCAUUUAGGACUUAGAGGAUCUCCUCGUCUCAAAGACACAGUAGUUAUGGGACGGUCCCUUCCCCAAAGGGAGUUUGGGAAGGGGAUUUGUGGAAAGGGAAGACCACUUCUUGAAUAGAAUGGAAACUCUCCUCGUUCACCUAGGUCACUCCUAGACGUGCUUCAAACUCCACUUAAGAGUCGCUGUGAGAUGCUGCCCCUCUACAAUCCAGCUAGCUGCACACAUGCAUCCCCUACUGUCGCAUGUGCCUCUCUGUCCGAACAGCUGCCCUCCUGUCUCUUACCCGUGACUGUCAGCCCACGGAGGGCAGAAGCCUCAGGGUCUAACAUAGUGUCAGGCACAGGGGAGGGACCUGGAUGUGAGAGCCACCUGGCUGCCACAUCUGGCAUAUUCAUUUUUGCUCAUUUAGUUGGUUAAAUAUUUACUGACUGAUAGGAACGAAGGAUGAUUUGACUAGAGGGAAGGGAGAGGAAGUGAGCACACAAAUAAUCAGGGAGGAGAUGAAGGCCCCGGGAGAGCGCCUGCUUCGAGUCCCUGCUGGGAAGGUGGACCCCAGCCCCUCUCCCCCUCUGCAAGGCCUGAGGCCCGCCUGAGCUCAUGGACUCCAGGCUGGCCUCUCCUGAUUCAUCCUCUGCUCGCCCCUCACUCACCAGUUGCUCUUCCAGGUGUGACGGACGUGCGGGUCGUGGAUGCCGUGUUUGUCCGCCUGUUCAUCCAGAAAGUCAAACAUGUACUUGAUCGCCAGGGGCAGGGCGGAGCCGCGGUGCGCCGUGCUGAAGAUGGUCUCGAAGAGGUCGUCCACAAACUUCUGCAGUGUGCCCUGCGGAGGAGGGCGCAAGUUCAGACACAGCUCGCCUGCCCCGUGAGCUCUGAGGCUGGGUUUUUUUUUUUUUGCGGUACGCAGGCCUCUCACUGUUGUGGCCGCUCCCGUUGCGGAGCACAGGCUCCGGUCGCGCAGGCUCAGCGGCCAUGGCUCACGGGCCCAGCCGCUCCGCGGCACGUGGGAUCUUCCCGGACCGGGGCACAAACCCGUGUCCCCUGCAUCGGCAGGCGGACUCUCAACCACUGCGCCAUCAGGGAAGCCCUGAGGCUGGGUUUUGAGAUCGACUGGCCUCCCAGAUGGCGGGCGGAAGGGAGGACAGCGCACAGCCACACCUGCUUGGGUGAAAUCCUGCAAGUGCCUAUGUGAAAUCUGCACCCUCCCCCUGCCCGCCUGCAUCUGUCUCGAGCAGCUUUACAUUUCCCCGGCACGUAGAAAAUAGAUACAACACCGAUAACUGGACCUAAGGAAGCCUUCCUCUGCCAACAACUCGGUUUGGUUUAACACCCUUUGAUGGUGUUAUUUUAGCACUUUUCACAAAUGCUAAUGAACAACUCAGUCAGUCAGAGCAGACAAACACAAUCUGCCGGUUCUGUUUAGGCAUUAUUCACGCCGGCUAAUGCACAGUUACUCAUUUGCCUCUGCAGAGAGCAGAGCCGAGGCCAGUCUCGGGAGUGAGGGACUAACUGGGAUGGGACUGCCUCACCUCAGAGAAAUGCCACAGCUGGCAAGUCCCUAGCAUCUCUGCUGGUGCCCCCUCUCAUCCACUCACGCACACGCUGCUGGCCAGUGCCGGUCUCUUUCCCAGCACAGAGCCUCAGAAUCCUUCUCAACCCACUGCUGCAGCCAACCCCACCCAUACUGGAUCCGUGAACCAGGAUUAGAAACGGUGCCUGGAAAGUCAAUGAUGGAGCCCCAAUUCCCAUCACGACACCCCAGAGAAAUAGUCAUUCUUCCGUUAGGCGUGGCAGAAGACUAUGAAUACACGUGGUUAGUGUCUCUCUGUUUGAGCGAGGGCAAGAGAAGGGACGGAACCAAAACUUCUGACGGCAUGCCAGCUCGGAUGUAUGGGUGGGGUUGGCUGCAGCACUGGGUUGAGAAGGAUUCUGAGGCUCUGUGCUGGGAAAGAGACCGGCGCUGACCAGCAGCGUGUGCAUGAAUGGGUGAGAGAGGGGGCACCAGCAGAGGUGCUAGGGAUUUGCCAACUCUGGCAUUUCUGUGAGGUGAGGCAGUCCCAUCCCAUAACCCACAGGUGCCCCGCACCCUGUCUGAAGUCCCAUACCUUAGUGGCCAGCAGUCGUGUCAGAUAGAUUUCAGACACCAUCUUGCUCCCCCGGUCACCCUCCUUCUGGUCCCCGUGCUCGUGGUUCUUCACCAGGUGCCACAUCUUGACGCCACUCUCCAGGUCAGGGGUGAUCAUGGGUGUGCGUGAGCGGAGGCUGUCAGGGCUGCCCGUGUACCGGAUCAUGUUUUCUGCCAAUGCAAGGACCCCACGCGGGUAAGGCCACCCAGCCUUCCGGCCCAUCACUCACGACACACCUCGGCUCCAGCCAAGGCCAACUCCGAUCCUUCCUGCAUUUGCAGGCGCUGUCACUUUGCCUCACUUCCGUCCAUUCCUGAAUCUGGGGCGCUCUCCCACCACCUCCGGAAACUCUCUGUGGCUCCUCCACCCACUCGGAUUCCCCUCCCUCCUGCACUUGCAUCUCCAGCCCUUGUUACUCAAUUUGUAAAAACAGAAGCUUGUCCUUUUUUACGCUUUCCUUAUGAGAGCUCUCAAGUCUCAGGGGGUGCUCUGUGCAGCCAGCUGGGUACCAAUGAAAGAGCAGGGAUCCUGUCUCCCCAGACGACGGCUGACCAGCUUAGUGAACGCCCUGUCACUGUGUACCUUCAUCCGCCCCUCUCGCCUGGACCAGUUCCUCCCACUUAAUUGCUGAAACGUGAGGUGUGGUGAGAUGAGAGUCGAGCGGGAAGAGAAGAGGCAAGCCCCACUGUGUGCGGGCACCGUUCUAGGUUGUCUUCUAUAUAUUUUCCAGAACCAUCCCGUGAAGUUGGUAGUUUUUGCAAUCCCCGUUUUGCUGGUAAGAAGGCACUCCAGGCUUCCAGCCCACAUCCGGCGCCCUUUUCCCCACCCCGAGGAGCAGAAACCUGGGUCUGUACCUUCCCUCCACUGCUUCAUAGCGUGUGACCUUUACACGUCAUCUAGCCUCUGUGCAUCUGAGUUAUAAUUUGCUAAUCUGCAUAAGAGGGGGAAAUAAUAAUUAUUUAAUCCACUGAUUAUUAUGAACCUGACGUUUGAUAAAGAGUUAUCACGAGUGUGAAAGCAUCUUAGAGACUGUACGAUGCUCAGGAAGGUUAGACUUUCUUGUUUUUGAGGAUGAAGGUCCUGCGCCUGCAUCAGAGCCCCUGCCCGGAACCAGAAGCCUCCUUUCCAGGCCAGAGUUCCUCUCUGGUGGCCAGCCUGCCUGACUCCCCCCCCCCCCGCCACUCCCCACCCCCGUGCCCCAUCCCGGGCAUCUGCUGCCUUCCAGCAGUGCUGCCAGCAAUGACAACAGCUGCUCAGGGCAUCCUCUCCUCCCCAGAAUGAUUCAGUGAACUCACCGUAUUUACUUGCCGAGGUCCUGGAGACGGUGGAGUUGUUCACGGCAUUGUAGGCUGUCACCUGCUUAGACACUAAAGCCACCACAGAACCAUCCGGCACCUACCGGGAAAAGGCAGGUGAGGGCCUGGACACAGAAACUCUGCCACCCCAGGAAAUCAGGACAAGCCAGGAUGAACGUGGUCCUCAGGGGCAAUCAGUGCCUCACCGAGACCCAGGGGACCAAGGAGGCUGUCAGCUUUCCUUUGACGCAGCACAACAGAUCUGAAUACAGAAUCGUAGUCUAUGUUGGGGUUCACUCUUGGAGCAACUCUGGCAAGAGCUUCUCACCAGCACCCUCUGUCUUGGUGCUUCCCUGGGGGAGCACCCAGCCUUAAACUCCGGGUACCACAGGGUCUGUGCCUAUGCCCUGUGGGAAGCAUGCACCUGGCAACCAUCUCCAAGGAGGUCAGGGUUUCCUGGCUGGGGGCCAUGUUUUCGGGUCGCUAAGGGCACGUGCAGUGCUGGUGAAGAAGUGGAUUUAGGGCUUGGUAAGAGCCUCAGGGCAGCCCUGCUAUUCAAGGACUGAGACUCCCAGGGACCUGGCUGCCCAGUUCGCUAGCCCCUCUCCACUCCACGGUCACCUCACCUGGUAAUGCGCCAGGGUGUUCAGUCUCUUCCAGUCGUUCUCAAUCUUGGUGGUGAUGUCUUCAUCCUGCAGGAUCAUCCUCGCCCCACUUCCUUGUCGCCACUCUGUAGGGAGAGCAGUCGCAUCUCAGAGAGGGCCUCAGGGCCUCCCAUGGGAUCCUGGAUGAAGUGCACGUACACGGCACCUUCUCAGGGGUGCAUCGCGGACAGACAGGUGCUAGCAGACACUCCCAGAGGAGGGGUGCGGAAGCUCUCAGCACGGGUGCGGGGGGGCCCUGAAUUCCAGUUCUGGUUCUCAUCCAACAAAUUACGUGACAGAAGUAGGAAUAACAUCACCCCCGUGGCCCACCUGUUCCCAGCAGUGGCUGUAAGGCCAAGUGGCCUGAGGCAGGGGAACACAAUCAGAUUCACAGGUUGCAUCAGAACGAAAUUCUCCGGACCACCCAGUUCCAGAAACUGCCCUGGAGACAUUCCGGACCACCCAGUUCCAGGAACUGACCUGGGGACUUUGAACCCGGCCCAGCCUUCCCGCCUUUCGAGGGGCGGGACUAACUGUCCCAAGACUGAUGCAACCGGCAACCAGAUAUUGCCACGAUACCCGAAGAGACCACCAAAUAAGGAAUACCCUGCGCCCUCCCAGAUUCACCACACCCCUUUCCCUUCUUCCCCUAUAAAAUCUUGCCCAACCCUCGCCCAGGCGCGACUUCUCUGGCCCCUUUCUCUCACACCAGUGAACCUCGCCCGGGAGCGCUCCCUAAUAAAGCUCACUUGAAGCUUU